CCAUAUCACGUGCGAUCACCGUAGUUAAGCAACGCUAAUUCUGGUCAGUACUUAGAUGAGUGACCGCUUGGGAAUAACAGGUGCUGUAA
Molecule: non-coding RNA, 89 nt
Organism: Acanthosepion pharaonis
Lineage: Eukaryota; Metazoa; Mollusca; Cephalopoda; Sepiida; Sepiidae
Source: the annotation of a GenBank genome assembly